CCUACGGGUGGCAGCAGUGGGGAAUAUUGCACAAUGGGGGGAACUCUGAUGCAGCGACGCCGCGUGGGUGAAGGAGUACUUCGGUACGUAAAGCUCUAUCAGCAGGUAAGAAAAAGACGGUACUUGCCUAAGACGCCACGGCUAACUACGUGCCAGCAGCGGCGGGAAUACGUAGGGGGCAGGCGUUAUCCGGAUUUAUUGGGGGGAAAGGGAGCGUAGGCGGGAGCACAAGACUGGAGUGAAAUGCCGGGGCUUAACCACGGGUGUGCGUUGGAAACUGUGCAGCUAGAGUGCAGGAGGGGUGAGUGGAAUUCCUAGUGUAGCGGUGAAAUGCGUAGAUAUUAGGAGGAACACCAGUGGCGAAGGCGGCUUACUGGACUGUAACUGACGCUGAGGCUCGAAAGCGUGGGGAGCAAACAGGAUUAGAUACCCGUGUAGUC
RNAcentral lists this ribosomal RNA (440 nucleotides) under uncultured bacterium. RNAcentral describes it as "partial 16S ribosomal RNA". It matches the Rfam family "Bacterial small subunit ribosomal RNA", at positions 338 to 795 of the family's 1533-position model. The record is from RNAcentral.